GAUGUGUGUGGGGUUCGGAGCGGCGCCGGCACAGCCGAAGGGAGCGGGCGAGCGGCGACGGCGGCGGCGGGCACAGAUUAAUUAAAAGAAGAAUGAACUAUAAUCCUUGAAGAUAACUGGGCAAUUUUUUAAGUCGGAGGCUGUUCUUACUGGUGUGAGGAUUUACACACGUCUUCAGUUUUUCAGCACAGACCAGCAUACCAUCAUUUUUAGAGGAAGUACUCCCUCUGCCCUCCUUUUUGGUUUCCUUGGUGGUAAAGAUUAAAUUUGGUUGCAUCAUUUUGACUUGUGUUUGAGUCUAGAUUUUAUGGCACAAGGAAUGGCAUAAACUUUUCAUGUGUUUUGCUUAAAACAAACCAGACCAUUGCAUUGACCCUGGACAUCUUUAAUUGAGAAAUUGGUAACUUUAUUUUAAUAUGUAUAUCUGAAGAAUUCAAGAAAACAAAGCCAUCCUCAGAGGUGUGCCUCUUUUCUUUAUUAUUAGAGGCAAAACGAACAAUUUUAUAGGAUUUGUAGUGAAAUUAUACCAAAUUAUAAGGAGAACCAAAACUAAGUCGCAAAAUUUAUUAAUUUAAGGGGAUCUCGCUUUGAA
RNAcentral lists this small RNA (592 nucleotides) under Pongo abelii (Sumatran orangutan). RNAcentral describes it as "processed transcript". The record is from RNAcentral. Lineage: Eukaryota; Metazoa; Chordata; Mammalia; Primates; Hominidae.